RNAcentral lists this long non-coding RNA (222 nucleotides) under Mytilus galloprovincialis (Mediterranean mussel). Lineage: Eukaryota; Metazoa; Mollusca; Bivalvia; Mytilida; Mytilidae. The record is from RNAcentral.
UAGGAUUCCAACUCGGUUGUGGUGUAAGAAAAGAUUGAAAAAAAUAAACCGUCCAUUACACAAAAUCACUACAUGCCCUGCAAAGGACACACAAAAACCAAAGGUACGGCGCUUUCAUUGCUGUUCUUCGUCUCAAAUGAGCCUUCAAUAUGGAGCAAAUUAAUGAUCUCUAACUGCAAGUUUAAGACGGCCCAAACAGCGAUUUGCGAGUAGUUAUUUGUC